CACUGACCGUCCCUACUACCAAUCGGAUGGUUUAGUGAGGUCCUUGUGUCGGCCCCAACGGGGUUUGCCCUGACCCUGCCAGAGCAUCGAGAAGGUGGUCAAUCUUGACUAUCUAGAGGAAGUAGAAGUCGUAACAAGGUUACUGUAGGUGAACCAGCAGAAU
This 163-nucleotide non-coding RNA is filed under the name Podiceps cristatus (great crested grebe). RNAcentral describes it as "Eukaryotic small subunit ribosomal RNA". It matches the Rfam family "Eukaryotic small subunit ribosomal RNA", at positions 1667 to 1823 of the family's 1831-position model. Lineage: Eukaryota; Metazoa; Chordata; Aves; Podicipediformes; Podicipedidae. The record is from Rfam by way of RNAcentral.